Molecule: transfer RNA, 72 nt
Filed under: Nanobdellota archaeon
Lineage: Archaea; Nanobdellati; Nanobdellota
Description: tRNA-Met
Rfam family: tRNA
About the family: Transfer RNA (tRNA) molecules are approximately 80 nucleotides in length. Their secondary structure includes four short double-helical elements and three loops (D, anti-codon, and T loops).
Source: RNAcentral
UGCAGGGUGGUCAAGUGGCAAGACGUCUGGCUCAUACCCAGAAAAUCACGGGUCCGAAUCCCGUCCCUGCUA